CAAUAGCGUCUAUUAAAGUUGUUGCAGUUAAAAAGCUCGUAGUUGGAUUUCUGGUUGAAGCGACCGGUCGGGCGUUGAUUCGUCUGCACUGGAGUCGGUUUUGGCCAUCCUCUAGGAAAGUGCGUCUGGUAUUAAGUUAUCGGGCGUAUGAUCCUGGUCUUUUACUGUGAAAAAAUUAGAGUGUUUAAAGCAGGCCUUCGCCUUGAAUACAUUAGCAUGGAAUAAUAAGAUAGGACUUUGGUCUAUUUUGUUGGUUUGCAGACCGAAGUAAUGAUUAAUAGGGAUAGUUGGGGGUAUUUAUAUUCCGAUGUCAGAGGUGAAAUUCUUAGAUUUUCGGAAGAUAAACUUAUGCGAAAGCAUUUACCAAGGAUGUUUUCAUUAA
RNAcentral lists this ribosomal RNA (382 nucleotides) under uncultured eukaryote. RNAcentral describes it as "partial 18S ribosomal RNA". It matches the Rfam family "Eukaryotic small subunit ribosomal RNA", at positions 592 to 976 of the family's 1831-position model. The record is from RNAcentral.